GAUGAACGCUGGCGGCGUGCCUAAUACAUGCCAGUCGAGCGAACGGACGAGAAGCUUGCUUCUCUGAUGUUAGCGGCGGACGGGUGAGUAACACGUGGAUAACCUACCUAUAAGACUGGGAUAACUUCGGGAAACCGUAGCUAAUACCGGAUAAUAUUUUGAACCGCAUGGUUCAAAAGUGAAAGACGGUCUUGCUGUCACUUAUAGAUGGAUCCGCGCUGCAUUAGCUAGUUGGUAAGGUAACGGCUUACCAAGGCAACGAUGCAUAGCCGACCUGAGAGGGUGAUCGGCCACACUGGAACUGAGACACGGUCCAGACUCCUACGGGAGGCAGCAGUAGGGAAUCUUCCGCAAUGGGCGAAAGCCUGACGGAGCAACGCCGCGUGAGUGAUGAAGGUCUUCGGAUCGUAAAACUCUGUUAUUAGGGAAGAACAUAUGUGUAAGUAACUGUGCACAUCUUGACGGUUCCUAAUCAGAAAGCCACGGCUAACUACGUG
This 497-nucleotide ribosomal RNA is filed under the name uncultured bacterium. RNAcentral describes it as "partial 16S ribosomal RNA". It matches the Rfam family "Bacterial small subunit ribosomal RNA", at positions 28 to 507 of the family's 1533-position model. The record is from RNAcentral.